GUGGGGAAUAUUGGGCAAUGGGCGAAAGCCUGACCCAGCAACGCCGCGUGAAGGGAGAAGGUCUUCGGAUCGUAAACUUCUAUCCUUGGUGAAGAUAAUGACGGUAGCCGAGAAGGAAGCCCCGGCUAACUACGUGCCAGCAGCCGCGGUAAUACGUAGGGGGCAAGCGUUGUCCGGAAUGAUUGGGCGUAAAGGGCGCGUAGGCGGCCUGGUAAGUCUGGAGUGAAAGUCCUGCUUUUAAGGUGGGAAUUGCUUUGGAUACUGUCGGGCUUGAGUGCAGGAGAGGUAAGUGGAAUUCCCGGUGUAGCGGUGAAAUGCGUAGAGAUCGGGAGGAACACCAGUGGCGAAGGCGACUUACUGGACUGUAACUGACGCUGAGGCGCGAAAGUGUGGGGAGCAAACAGGAUUAGAAACCCCUGUAGUCC
This 425-nucleotide ribosomal RNA is filed under the name uncultured bacterium. RNAcentral describes it as "partial 16S ribosomal RNA". It matches the Rfam family "Bacterial small subunit ribosomal RNA", at positions 354 to 796 of the family's 1533-position model. The record is from RNAcentral.